GCUAUCACUAGCUAGGAGAAAAAAAAAUGGAUGGUGCAAUGGUUGAGGAGAUGAAGUCUUUGCAGAAAAACCGCACUUGGGAGCUAGUUCAGCUUCCAGAAGGAAAGAAUGUCAUUGGAUGCAAAUGGGUCUACAAAAGGAAACCAACAGUAUCAGAAAAAGAAGGGGAAAAGUUCAAGGCUGGACUAGUUGCAAAGGGAUUUUCGCAGCAAAAGGGGAUAAAUUAUGAUGAAAUCUUUUCUCCUGUGAUCAGCCAUACUUCAAUCAGGGCAGUGCUUGCAUUAAUAGCUGUUUGGGAUUUGUAUUUGGAGCAGAUGAAUGUUAAAACUGCUUUCUUGCAUGGUGAUUUGGAGGAGCAGAUUUACAUGGAGCAGUCAGAAGGGUUCACUCAGCCUGGACAGCAGCAUCUGGUUUGCAGGUUAAAGAAAUCGUUGUAUGGGUUGAAAGUUGAAACAGUCUCCAAGACAAUGGUACAAGCGGUUUGACUCCUGCAUGAUGCAGAUUGGCUACAGGCGAUGUCACAGCCUGCAUAAGAUGCAACUCAAAGAAAGGUCACAAGUCCCCUGAGGAAGCAAACAUGAAGCUGAUUAAAAUUCCAAAGGCUCCAAAAGAUUAUGAUGUACUCUCCAUUCCUCUGACAUCAGCUGCUGUGAGAAUGCUGAAGCUCAGAAGAGGAGUUCCAGAUGAAUGGCGCCAGUAUUUACCCAGUUAAUUAAAGCGAUAAUUAUCUUAAUUACGUCUUAAUUAACUUUAAUUAAUGCUUAUCUGUGCAUUCCACUGUAUAUUUUAAUCAGUUUGAUUAAUAUAAUCUAGCAGUUAUGGUGAUAUGGACUUAUAUGACUCUUAAUCUCCAAUUAACUCUUACCUGUAACCAUUUACUGAAUGAAAUUUUAGAUAAUGUGAGGAUUA
This is a long non-coding RNA of Phalaenopsis equestris, 909 nucleotides long. RefSeq lists it as uncharacterized. The transcript is spliced from 3 exons. The record is from RefSeq and is a predicted model, not a curated record. NCBI's taxonomy places the organism in Eukaryota, Viridiplantae, Streptophyta, Magnoliopsida, Asparagales, Orchidaceae.